GGAUAAAAGGUACUCCGGGGAUAACAGGCUGAUACCGCCCAAGAGUUCAUAUCGACGGCGGUGUUUGGCACCUCGAUGUCGGCUCAUCACAUCCUGGGGCUGAAGUAGGUCCCAAGGGUAUGGCUGUUCGCCAUUUAAAGUGGUACGCGAGCUGGGUUUAGAACGUCGUGAGACAGUUCGGUCCCUAUCUGCCGUGGGCGCUGGAGAAUUGAGGGGGGCUGCUCCUAGUACGAGAGGACCGGAGUGGACGCAUCACUGGUGUUCGGGUUGUCAUGCCAAUGGCACUGCCCGGUAGCUAAAUGCGGAAGAGAUAAGUGCUGAAAGCAUCUAAGCACGAAACUUGCCCCGAGAUGAGUUCUCCCUGAGACU
RNAcentral lists this ribosomal RNA (369 nucleotides) under Klebsiella pneumoniae. RNAcentral describes it as "partial 23S ribosomal RNA". It matches the Rfam family "Bacterial large subunit ribosomal RNA", at positions 2454 to 2822 of the family's 2925-position model. Lineage: Bacteria; Pseudomonadati; Pseudomonadota; Gammaproteobacteria; Enterobacterales; Enterobacteriaceae. The record is from RNAcentral.